ACAACUAAUCAUGGCAUCUUAUCAUAUCUCUAAGAUAUGAAAACAUAAUCAUACAAUAUGAUUAUAACUAAGCAUCUCAAAUAUAUCACAUAUGCAUGAAAUUCUAAUAACAUGCAUGAAUACAAAGUACUCUUUUUAUUGUUCUUCUUCUUGGAACAUUACAAUAGCACCCCUACACGUCAUAAGGUACUCCUAAUGGA
RNAcentral lists this long non-coding RNA (200 nucleotides) under Elaeis guineensis (African oil palm). RNAcentral's name for it is "long non-coding RNA (EGUI_LNC078712)". Lineage: Eukaryota; Viridiplantae; Streptophyta; Magnoliopsida; Arecales; Arecaceae. The record is from RNAcentral.